GAGAGCGUCCUUCCCGGGCACAGUGUGCACUGUGUGUGUGAAGUCUGACUAAUGUGACCCAGUGGUUAUGGGGUCCACCUGCCACGAUAGAGUGAAGGGAGUUGAACAUUCAAGGUCAUCAACCCCAGGGGAGUUGUACCUCCCAGCUUGUACAAGAGCAACUACAAGAAUUACUCAGCAGAUGGCCUCCUGAAAGGAAGUGGACCUCCAGUCUCACCUUGAAUAAUUGUGAAACUUAGUGACUUUCACACCAGACAUAUGAAGUUUCAUCCUACGGCAACAAAAGAAAUAGCUUUUCUUGGGAUUUGAGGAGGGAACAUGAAAUCAAAGAAGGAAUCAGAGAACUGAGUUAUGUAUGCCUUGGCCUCAAAGAGAUGGCAAGAUUUCUACAGAGAGAGAGGGUGGAAAGGAUAUGAAAAUCCUGAAAAGGGUGGCUGGAAGUUGUUUGAAUUUAUGGCUGGGAUGAAUCCUGGGAGGCUCCUGCAAGGUACCUUUUUGUCAGUUUUCCCUGGACUUUCCCCAGACUUCUGCAGCCUUAACUGACUUCACCAAAUUUCCAGGUGCAAACCUUGGGUCCUUCACACUGUGCCCAGCCCAGUACUGUCUGAUCCCAUAGUCCACAUGAUUCCCCUGCUUCUCUGCUCUGAUCUUUCCUCAUGUGCAUAUAUAAUAGCAAGGAAGAACUGACAUUGACCUCUACGGACGGAAGGGGUAAAGCAUGGAAGGCUUCCUGGAGGAGGAUGCAACUGAGCUGGACGGGGAUGAACUCUGUUAGCAAGAUUUCCAAAGUCUGAGAUGACUAGAACUGAAGGAAAAGGCAUGUGCAAAGGACUAACUGGGGGAGUUGGGCAUUGAGGGAUGGACAUAGGUGUAGAAAGACAACAAUAUGAGCAAAGAUUUGAGUAAUUUAGCAGGACCUGGAAAUAUGGCAGUUUCUCCUCAUAGACCUGAAGAGAGUGGACAGUCUGCCUGUCAAUCAUUGUAGCCCCUCCAAUGAUGAUGUUUGAGGGUGGGACCAUACAUAGAAAGGAGGUUAAAGAAGCCCUACCACGUGAACAGGCAAGUUUCCUUUAAAAUUUGGAUUGUAUCUUGCGGCUUCCGUGGACCGUUCCACUAAGGGAUUAUGGAAAAUGGCGGUUACCUUUUCGGCGAUCUCAAAAAAUGCUGCAUGAUUGGGUACUCUGGCCCCACCAACCACUUUCAGAAAUUCCCCUGGAUAAGGGAAAGAGGAAGUUUGUCCCAUCCACUCAUCUUAUGAGUUUCCAAGUUACCUAAUUUUCCUGCAGUGGUGCUAAGCUGACCCGCCACAGGUACAAGUGUAAUUUUUUAUCAUGGAUCUGAAUGCAGUUAAAUCCAGCUCCAUUUAGGAAAGGGGAAAAGAUGAGAUCUGUACCCCAGGGCCAGCAGAUAUCCUCAGAGAGUAUUGGGCAUCUCUUUGGAAAUCAACCUCUUUAAUUCUGCUACAAUGCCAGGAGGUUGCCCAGCAACGCACACUUUGCCUUGCUCUGAGCUGCGGUCUUUUGUGGCUCACUUGGACAGCUUACACUGAAGCUGACGUGUGUCAGCAUCAAGUUGGGGCCACAGGGAGUUUGUUAACUGGCAGUGCCAAAAAGUUCUCCUCUCUUUGCUUCCCUGUGUAAAGUUACUUCUUUUCUGGGCACUGGUUAAUUUGUUGAAAAUCAGGUGAAAGCUUUUGACAGUGGGUCAGGAGAGCGUUGAGUGUAAAUAUGAAUUACUCGAGGGUGCAUUCAAAGGCACUUCUGACCUUUAGUUUUAUAGAUCACUCCGCCCUCUGUUGCUUUAUUAGCACUGGUUUAAUCCAGAAGGUGGCAUCACAGAACCUGAUGGGAACUCACCAAAGAUUAAAAAAAAAAAAAAAACAUUUCUUUGUGAUCAGACACUAAAGUAUGUAGCCUUUUUACAACAUAGUGACUUUUUAAAGACUUCUCUAUCCCUACAAUUGGUUAAAUUAUUUUAAAGCUGUGGGAGGUAAAAACCUGAGGUUUGAGGUACUUUGCAAAACCUGUACCCAAACCCAUGUUCCUUCCCCAGGUGGUGUGACAGUGACCAAUACUGGCUUAUCUGCUUGUCAAAAGCAGCUGUUCGAUUGAACAACUGUGAUGCCUCCUUCCCCUUCCACACACGCUUGUGCCCACCGCCCGUCAAAAUCAUCUUGGGUCAUUUCAUUGAAGGGAAGGGCUGGGGAAGGUCUAAAUGAAUGGUUUAUGGGUAAAUCUGCUGAGUACUGGUACUUAAAAAU
Long non-coding RNA from Lontra canadensis (Northern American river otter), 2260 nucleotides. RefSeq lists it as uncharacterized. NCBI's taxonomy places the organism in Eukaryota, Metazoa, Chordata, Mammalia, Carnivora, Mustelidae. The record is from RefSeq and is a predicted model, not a curated record. The transcript has 4 exons.